This 213-nucleotide long non-coding RNA is filed under the name Capsicum annuum. RNAcentral describes it as "long non-coding RNA (CANN_LNC020147)". Lineage: Eukaryota; Viridiplantae; Streptophyta; Magnoliopsida; Solanales; Solanaceae. The record is from RNAcentral.
GAGAAGUGAGUUAGUGAGUCAAAAAUGUAUAAGUGUAGGUACUUGAAAUGUGGACUUGUGUUUUCAAUAUAGUUAAGUGUGGUCACUUGAGAAGUGAGUUAGUGACUUCAAAAUGUUUAAGUAUAGUUACUUGAAAGUUGGACUUGUGUUUUGAAUAUAGUUAAGUGUGGUCACUUAAGAAAUGAAUUAGUGACUUAAAAAAAUGUUUUAGUG